Molecule: ribosomal RNA, 427 nt
Filed under: uncultured bacterium
Lineage: Bacteria
Description: partial 16S ribosomal RNA
Rfam family: Bacterial small subunit ribosomal RNA
Source: RNAcentral
CCUACGGGUGGCUGCAGUCGAGGAUCUUCGUCAAUGGGCGCAAGCCUGAACGAGCGAUGCCGCGUGAGCGAUGAAGGCCUUCGGGUUGUAAAGCUCAAAAGGGAUGAGAUCGAAUCCCAGUAAGCUCGGGCUAAGUUCGUGCCAGCAGCCGCGGUAAGACGAACCGAGCGAACGUUGUUCGGAAUCACUGGGCUUAAAGGGCGCGUAGGCGGGGUCGUUAGUCCGUGGUGAAAUCCUCCGGCUCAACCGGAGAACUGCCUCGGAUACUGCGGCUCUCGAGGGUGAUAGGGGUAUGCGGAACUAUCGGUGGAGCGGUGAAAUGCGUUGAUAUCGAUAGGAACUCCGGUGGCGAAGGCGGCAUACUGGUCCUUCUGACGCUGAGGCGCGAAAGCCAGGGGAGCAAACGGGAUUAGAUACCCUAGUAGUC